Molecule: ribosomal RNA, 253 nt
Filed under: uncultured bacterium
Lineage: Bacteria
Description: partial 16S ribosomal RNA
Rfam family: Bacterial small subunit ribosomal RNA
Source: RNAcentral
UACGUAGGGUGCGAGCGUUGUCCGGAAUUAUUGGGCCUAAAGCAUCCGUAGCCGGUCUUGCAAGUCUUCCGUUAAAUCCACCUGCUUAACAGAUGGGCUGCGGAGGAUACUAUGGAGCUAGGAGGCGGGAGAGGCAAGCGGUACUUAGUGGGUAGGGGUAAAAUCCGUUGAUCCAUUGAAGACCACCAGUGGCGAAGGCGGCUUGCCAGAACGCACUCGACGGUGAGGGAUGAAAGCUGGGGGAGCAAACCGG